GCACCACAAGGGGUGAAGCCUGCGGUUCAAUUGGGCUCAACGCCGGGAAACUUACCAGGGGAGACAGCAGUAUGACGGUCAGGUUGACGACCUUACCCGACGAGCUGAGAGGAGGUGCAUGGCCGUCGCCAGUUCGUGCCGUGAGGUAUCCUGUUAAGUCAGGCAACGAACGAGAUCCGCACCUUUAUUUGCCAACAAGAAGUCACGACUUCGUUGGGAACACUAAAGGGACCGCCGUCGAUAAGACGGAGGAAGGAGCGGGCAAAGGCAGGUCAGUAUGCCCCGAAACCCCUGGGCUACACGCGGGCUGCAAUGGUAUGAACAAUGGGCUGUGACUCCGAAAGGAGAAACCAAUCCCGAAAUCAUAUCUCAGUUGGAAUUGUCGGCUGUAACCCGCCGACAUGAACGUGGAAUCCCUAGUAAUCGUGUGUCAUCAUCGCACGGUGAAUACGUCUCUGCUCCUUGCACACACCGCCCGUCGCUCCAUCCGAGUGUGCUAAAAAUGAGGUUUGGUCAAUCUGGUCAUAUCGAGUUUCUAGUAUGCGAGGAGGGAG
RNAcentral lists this ribosomal RNA (554 nucleotides) under uncultured archaeon. RNAcentral's name for it is "bacterial SSU rRNA". It matches the Rfam family "Archaeal small subunit ribosomal RNA", at positions 876 to 1429 of the family's 1478-position model. The record is from RNAcentral.